RNAcentral lists this microRNA precursor (87 nucleotides) under Aquilegia coerulea. RNAcentral describes it as "Aquilegia caerulea miR535 stem-loop (aqc-MIR535)". Its record names the gene aqc-MIR535. It matches the Rfam family "MIR535 microRNA precursor family", at positions 10 to 90 of the family's 95-position model. The record is from miRBase by way of RNAcentral. Lineage: Eukaryota; Viridiplantae; Streptophyta; Magnoliopsida; Ranunculales; Ranunculaceae.
UGACAACGAGAGAGAGCACGCGAGUCGGCAUUCAUGCAGAGGAUAUAUAAAUGACUGUCUACAUGCGUGCUUUCUCUCGUUGUCAUA